CAAAUAAAGAGAAAGCUAAUAGAAAAUCCUAGUUACUAAUUUUGCUAGCACGGUAACUGUAUCUUCUGUUCCAGGAGGACUCCAGCAAAUAACAUGUAAAAUUACUCAAAAUUAGAUGUCACCCAGUGAGUACACUAUUAAUUUACAUGUCAUUGGAUUUUAUACCCUUUGCAUUCAUCUCAAGUUUUCAAGGGGCAUGACUGUAGACAUCCCAGUUUGAUGACACC
Molecule: non-coding RNA, 227 nt
Organism: Pelobates cultripes (western spadefoot toad)
Lineage: Eukaryota; Metazoa; Chordata; Amphibia; Anura; Pelobatidae
Source: the annotation of a GenBank genome assembly